Molecule: long non-coding RNA, 1005 nt
Organism: Stylophora pistillata
Lineage: Eukaryota; Metazoa; Cnidaria; Anthozoa; Scleractinia; Pocilloporidae
Source: RefSeq, a predicted model, not a curated record
CGUUGGCUAUCUAUCAUCUCAUAUCCAACGCGCGCUCGUGGAAUAAUUGUUAAGUACACAAAUCCCGAUGGCAGUUUGGUUGAUUUCGUCUGAUAGAAUAAGAGGUUGGCGCGAAUUUUCUGAACCAAUCACAGAGCGAAAUAAAGCAAACCAAAAUUAAUACUCGGAUGACUUCGACACACAACUGAGAAUUGCUCUAACAUCAACAAAAUAUACUAUGAUGUUUUUUAGUCACAUAAUUUAAAUCACUUAUUGGUUUGGAGAGGUUUAAGUUGAUCAAUCUACGGCCAAAAUUCCGCCUCACGUCGGUGCCUUAAAACUUUGAAAUAGUGCAGAAUUAAAUUUGGGAUCAAAUGCCUCUCUUUCGUCAUAUUGUAUGUUAUUCUCCACUAGAUGGCUCUCAAUCUUGGUGAAGAAGGCUUUGCUUCCUGUGGAAGCGAUGGCCUUGUUGUUUUGUGGAAGGACAGUGAACUGGAGAAGAAGAGAAGGAAUGAAAUAGUUCGACAUAUCUUGUUAUCGAUCGAUGACACAAGAUGAAGUAGGGACAUUGUUUGUCGCUUAUUGGGACUCUGAAUUCACUCGACAUGCCCAUAACCUUACUGACUCUUACAUUUCCAUCAGAUGGUUGUAUCAUCAUCAAGGUUAUAGGACGCGGACAGCAAUCGGCAAGAGAAUGCCCUGCUCUUUGCGCCCUUUUCCACCAAUCAGUAGAAAACCACUGUGUGAACAUUUCAAAUCAAGCACUUGACGGAAAAUCCUCAAAGAUUUAAGAUUUGAAACAAGGUAUAGAGAAAUGAAUACUCUCCUGUCAAAAAUGGCUGCGAUGAAGCUUUGAUUUGAGGGUGCUCCAGUGUGUUUUGCCUACACCGGAAAUUAAACAAUUAUUAUGAAUUCUAAUGACCAAAACAAUCGAUUAGUUUUAUAUUAAAAAAGUUGGACUUAUAUGCUCAGAUAUCGUAAAGAAAUAUUGUUUUGAAAUAAAAAAAAGUACGUAAUUUUAAUAUA